AGACGGAGGAUGCAAGUGUUAUCCGGAAUCACUGGGCGUAAAGCGUCUGUAGGUGGUCAAAUAAGUCAACUGUUAAAUCUUGAGGCUCAACCUCAAAAUCGCAGUCGAAACUAUUAGACUAGAGUAUAGUAGGGGUAAAGGGAAUUUCCAGUGGAGCGGUGAAAUGCGUAGAGAUUGGAAAGAACACCGAUGGCGAAGGCACUUUACUGGGCUAUUACUAACACUGAGAGACGAAAGCUAGGGUAGCAAAUGGGAUUAGAUACCCCAGUAGUCCUAGCCGUAAACAAUGGAUACUAGAUGUUGAACAGAUCGACCUGUGCAGUAUCAAAGCUAACGCGUUAAGUAUCCCGCCUGGGAAGUAUGCUCGCAAGAGUGAA
This 377-nucleotide ribosomal RNA is filed under the name uncultured bacterium. RNAcentral's name for it is "bacterial SSU rRNA". It matches the Rfam family "Bacterial small subunit ribosomal RNA", at positions 523 to 898 of the family's 1533-position model. The record is from RNAcentral.